This 468-nucleotide ribosomal RNA is filed under the name uncultured bacterium. Its description in RNAcentral is "partial 16S ribosomal RNA". It matches the Rfam family "Bacterial small subunit ribosomal RNA", at positions 28 to 507 of the family's 1533-position model. The record is from RNAcentral.
GACGAACGCUGGCGGCGUGCUUAACACAUGCAAGUCGAACGGAAAGGCCCUGCAUUUGUGGGGUGCUCGAGUGGCUAACGGGUGAGUAACACGUGAGUAACCUGCCCUUGACUUUGGGAUAACUUCAGGAAACUGGGGCUACUACCGGAUAGGAGCUCCUGCUGCAUGGUGGGGGUUGGAAAGUUUCGGCGGUUGGGGAUGGACUCGCGGCUUAUAAGCUUGUUGGUGGGGUAGUGGCUUACCAGGGCUGUGACGGGUAGCCGGCCUGAGAGGGUGACCGGACACAUUGGGUUUGAAAUACGGCACAGACUACUACCGGAGGCAGCAGUGGAGAAUAGUGCACAAUGGGCGGAAGCCUGAUGCAGCACCGCCGCGUGCGGGAUGACGGCCUUCGGGUUGUAACCCGCUUUCGCCUGUGACGAAGCGUAAGUGACGGUAAUGGGUAAAGAAGCACCGGCUAACUACGUG